Molecule: long non-coding RNA, 388 nt
Organism: Panthera uncia (snow leopard)
Lineage: Eukaryota; Metazoa; Chordata; Mammalia; Carnivora; Felidae
Exons: 3
Source: RefSeq, a predicted model, not a curated record
GCUGCCAACACUUCAAGUUUGACUUCUGGCCUCCAAAAAUGUAAGAUGGUACUUGGAAUAUAACAGACUAAAUGGAUGAAGUGCCUCACCUGAUGAACACCAUAUGUCUCUCAAAUAUUUAUUGUUUCCCUCAGGCAAUAUGGCGUAGAAGGAAAAGUUUUAGUGGCAAAAAGAACUAAAAAACACAGCUACCUAAAGUCAAACUGUCUUUUGCAGGAGGCUUAGUUUUCUCAAAAAGAAGAUAAUGACAAAUGGAAACAGAAACUACUCUAGAUCAUAGUAAAUCAAAACUGUCUGCGAGAAUUCCCCAUCCCACCACCUUGUAUGAAGGCCAGCUUAUGAUCAUAGAUUCUUAGUGGAGACUUAUCCCCCUCAAGCCAGUACUAAG